RNAcentral lists this ribosomal RNA (446 nucleotides) under uncultured bacterium. RNAcentral's name for it is "bacterial SSU rRNA". It matches the Rfam family "Bacterial small subunit ribosomal RNA", at positions 29 to 520 of the family's 1533-position model. The record is from RNAcentral.
AACGAACGCUGGCGGCAUGCCUAACACAUGCAAGUCGAACGAGACCUUCGGGUCUAGUGGCGCACGGGUGCGUAACGCGUGGGAAUCUGCCCUUGGGUUCGGAAUAACACAGAGAAAUUUGUGCUAAUACCGGAUGAUGACGAAAGUCCAAAGAUUUAUCGCCCAAGGAUGAGCCCGCGUAGGAUUAGGUAGUUGGUGGGGUAAAGGCCCACCAAGCCGACGAUCCUUAGCUGGUCUGAGAGGAUGAUCAGCCACACUGGGACUGAGACACGGCCCAGACUCCUACGGGAGGCAGCAGUGGGGAAUAUUGGACAAUGGGCGAAAGCCUGAUCCAGCAAUGCCGCGUGAGUGAUGAAGGCCUUAGGGUUGUAAAGCUCUUUUACCAGGGAUGAUAAUGACAGUACCUGGAGAAUAAGCUCCGGCUAACUCCGUGCCAGCAGCCGCGG